GCUCAGUAACACGUGGAUAACCUGCCCUAGGGAAGGGGAUAACCCCGGGAAACUGGGGAUAAUACCCUAUAGGUUACAGAUGCUGGAAUGCUCUGUAACCCAAAGUUCCGGCGCCCUAGGAUGGAUCUGCGGCCGAUUAGGUUGUUGUUGGGGUAAUGGCCCAACAAGCCAGUAAUCGGUACGGGUUGUGGGAGCAAGAGCCCGGAGUUGGAUUCUGAGACACGAAUCCAGGCCCUACGGGGCGCAGCAGGCGCGAAAACUUUACAAUGCGGGCAACCGUGAUAAGGGAACCUCGAGUGCCUGUAAAUGCAGGMUGUUUAGGUGUUUAAAACGCACCUGGAGAAAGGGCCGGGCAAGACCGGUGCCAGCCGCCGCGGUAAUACCGGCGGCUCGAGUGGUGGCCACUUUUAUUGGGCUUAAAGCGUUCGUAGCUGGGUUGUUAAGUCUCUUGGGAAAUCUGACGGCUUAACCGUCAGGCGUCUAAGGGAUACUGGCAAUCUUGGAACCGGGAGAGGUGAGGGGUACUUCGGGGGUAGGAGUGAAAUCCUGUAAUCCUCGAGGGACCACCUGUGGCGAAGGCGCCUCACCAGAACGGCUUCGACAGUGAGGGACGAAAGCUGGGGGAGCAAACCGGAUUAGAUACCCGGGUAGUCCCAGCCGUAAACUAUGCGCGUUUGUUAUCGGUGACCACGAGUUACCGAGGUGCSGAAGGGAAACCGUGAAACGUKCCGCCUKGGAA
Molecule: ribosomal RNA, 739 nt
Filed under: uncultured Methanoculleus sp.
Lineage: Archaea; Methanobacteriati; Methanobacteriota; Methanomicrobia; Methanomicrobiales; Methanomicrobiaceae
Description: bacterial SSU rRNA
Rfam family: Archaeal small subunit ribosomal RNA
Source: RNAcentral